RNAcentral lists this ribosomal RNA (253 nucleotides) under uncultured bacterium. RNAcentral describes it as "partial 16S ribosomal RNA". It matches the Rfam family "Bacterial small subunit ribosomal RNA", at positions 524 to 776 of the family's 1533-position model. The record is from RNAcentral.
UACGUAGGGACCGAGCGUUGUCCGGAAUCAUUGGGCGUAAAGAGCGUGUAGGCGGCUUGCUAAGUCUUGCGUGAAAUCUCGGGGCUCAACCCCGAGCGGUCGUGGGAAACUGGCAGGCUAGAGUGCGGGAGAGGAGAAUGGAAUUCCUGGUGUAGCGGUGAAAUGCGCAGAUAUCAGGAGGAACACCGGUGGCGAAGGCGGGACUCUGGGCCGACCCUGACGCUGAGGCGCGAAGGCGUGGGGAGCGAACGGG